CUAAGUAUUUGGGGAAGCUUCUCAGUCAGAUACCCUUGAAAAAAUCUGAAUAUAAUAAAUCUGUAAAGGAAAUGUCAAUAUUUGAAGGGAUCCCAUAGCAAAUUUAAUUAGCCCCUUAAAUAUUGUAAGUGUACUUUUUCCAUUUUUUAUAUUCGGGUUUCUUUUUGAAUAUUUUCAUUUCUGAUCGACAGACUUUCCCAAAUACUACACUUAGUGCAUGUUGAGCAUACACUUUCCUAAUAAAUAAAGUAAUAAGAUUUAGAAGCUGAACUUUAAAAACUUAAGAACUAGCUUCAAUAAGUUGAAUAUUAAUUUUUAAAAUCAAAAUAGUCCCUGAAUAAUCUUUUCUACCUAAAGGGACUCCAAGAAUCACAGACACCCACAUUCACUUUUGGGUGGAACAGGCAGAGGCCAGACCAGCUCAUCACCGCUGACCCUUUCAGAGCCUCAGUGGGUAAAAUAAGCGCGUCCUCAUAAUGAGAGCUGCUAUAUUUGGGAUCUCUCCUUGUCCUCCAUUCAUGAUCUUACUUUCCUUUCAGUCCUAAAGAUUCAAACACGUGGUGUCAGUGUUGCUCUAAAGCACAGGCCGAUUCCCAGGGUCAGGCUCUAAAUUGUUUAACUAAAUCCAUUGACAAAUCACCCAGAAAAGCUUUUAAUAUGUUUGCAGGCUUAACCGUAGAAGCAAAGCAAAUUGUUCUUGAGAUCUUCAAAGCAGGCGUGCAGGUUUCACCAGUUCUUCCGCUUGCCCUGGGCAGGUCUGCAAGUCUGCUGGAACCUGGCACGCAGUGACCCUCCUGCCCAGCCACCCGGUUCCUGAGCUUCCUCUUCAUGCAAGAGUCCACUUGUAAAACAAACAACAGGCUUAGAAUUGUUCGUCCCCUUCACCACCAGAGCCUGGCAACCAUGCAUUACCCAACAUCGGUUACCAUGACUGCAAGGAGGCAGCAGACAGCAAGCCCACAGAAGUGUGUACUGAAGAAAGGGAAUUCAACAGCUCCUGGAGUUAACAAGUGA
Molecule: long non-coding RNA, 1014 nt
Filed under: Piliocolobus tephrosceles (Ugandan red Colobus)
Lineage: Eukaryota; Metazoa; Chordata; Mammalia; Primates; Cercopithecidae
Description: lncRNA (ENSPTEG00000018742.1)
Source: RNAcentral